Molecule: non-coding RNA, 1087 nt
Organism: Durio zibethinus
Lineage: Eukaryota; Viridiplantae; Streptophyta; Magnoliopsida; Malvales; Malvaceae
Source: RefSeq, a predicted model, not a curated record
CGUCAAAGAUGUGUUAGGUACCAAUCCUGGUAAAAAGAUCAAAAUAAGAAGAGAAAAUAAAAAACAAAGGCUACCCACGGGCUAAAACGCGGGUCAUUCCUCGGGUCAAGAAAAUCUGGUCACUCACUCUCCUCGAAUAGCAUCGUUUCCUUUUGAAUAUAGACGUUCCUUUCGAGUUUUUUUAAUUUUCAAAUUCUAUUCUUUCUGUACUUCUCUCUGUCUUUGUAAACUCUCUCCAAUCCUCUGCUGGCAGCCACCGAUUUUUCAGAAUCCGAUGAGACAUAGCCAUCGCCUCCACCGAUGCCGUCGUUGGCCGCCACUUGCCUACGUCGCUUCAUCCCCAAUUUCAACGUCGGGUUCCUCUCAGCACCCUUUUCAACUUUUUCAACUUAGUUUUCUAAAAAACCUUAGAGACUCAGUAGAUCUAAGCUCAGAUUUUUUAAAAACCCCUCUCUGAUCCGUCGUUUUUUCGCCGUUUUACACCAAUCAAAUCCUAAGUCAGUCUCCUCAGAACCUUUUCUUUUUCCUCUAACUUUCAGCUAGGUUGAAAUCUACCAAAGAUAGCUUUAAAACCCACGGGCAAAUUAAAGAAAAAAUAAAAAAGCUACCUCAUGAGGCGUCGCUUAAACAAAUCCGAGAGAGCUCUUUCCCCUAGUCUUCUUUCUACCUGACGGACCGAGACCCAAAAGUUUUUCUACACGAUCGCAAUCGCAAUCCGUGGUACUGACUGAUUGGAUAAUGGUUUAGACUGAAUCGGUAGUGGUUCUACACUGGUCGAUGAUCGUAAUGGGGUAUUGAGGUGUGGUGGUUGAAGUAUGGUGAGGAGGGUGGUUUCACACUACUGUGUUGCCGGCUACCUACUUUAAAUGCUUUUCUCCAAGGCCCAAGAACUCCCUAAAGUUGAACCCUCGGUCCCCUGUUUUACUUCUUUUUUAAUAGCUCCUUUUGCUCGAUCGUUCUUGUGGAUUAUGUAAGGAAUGAAUUCCAAUCCAAAUAUAACUCUAGCUCAAAACGUAUUAAGUUCUUGUCGCGUUAGAGUUCUUUAUCUUCAAAUCAUCUCAAUCCAAACUUGUUUCGAGUUUCUCCA